Molecule: ribosomal RNA, 253 nt
Filed under: uncultured bacterium
Lineage: Bacteria
Description: partial 16S ribosomal RNA
Rfam family: Bacterial small subunit ribosomal RNA
Source: RNAcentral
UACGAAGGGGGGUAGCGUUGUUCGGGAUUACUGGGCGUAAAGCGCGUGUAGGCGGGCCGUUAAGUCGGGGGUGAAAGCCCAGAGCUCAACUCUGGAAUUGCCUUCGAUACUGGCGGCCUGGAGCAUGAUAGAGGCGAGUGGAAUUGCGAGUGUAGAGGUGAAAUUCGUAGAUAUUCGCAGGAACACCAGUGGCGAAGGCGACUCGCUGGAUCAUUGCUGACGCUGAGACGCGAAAGCGUAGGGAGCAAACAGG